UGAAGUGUGGACGCCAGUCUGCAUGGAGCCGGCCUUGAAAUACCACCCUUUAAUGUUUGAUGUUCUAACGUUGACCCGUGAUCCGGGUUGCGGACAGUGUCUGGUGGGUAGUUUGACUGGGGCGGUCUCCUCCUAAAGAGUAACGGAGGAGCACGAAGGUUGGCUAAUCCUGGUCGGACAUCAGGAGGUUAGUGCAAUGGCAUAAGCCAGCUUGACUGCGAGCGUGACGGCGCGAGCAGGUGCGAAAGCAGGUCAUAGUGAUCCGGUGGUUCUGAAUGGAAGGGCCAUCGCUCAACGGAUAAAAGGUACUCCGGGGAUAACAGGCUGAUACCGCCCAAGAGUUCAUAUCGACGGCGGUGUUUGGCACCUCGAUGUCGGCUCAUCACAUCCUGGGGCUGAAGUAGGUCCCAAGGGUAUGGCUGUUCGCCAUUUAAAGUGGUACGCGAGCUGGGUUUAGAACGUCGUGAGACAGUUCGGUCCCUA
RNAcentral lists this ribosomal RNA (483 nucleotides) under Escherichia coli. Its description in RNAcentral is "partial 23S ribosomal RNA". It matches the Rfam family "Bacterial large subunit ribosomal RNA", at positions 2158 to 2640 of the family's 2925-position model. The record is from RNAcentral. Lineage: Bacteria; Pseudomonadati; Pseudomonadota; Gammaproteobacteria; Enterobacterales; Enterobacteriaceae.